Long non-coding RNA from Xiphophorus hellerii (green swordtail), 488 nucleotides. RefSeq lists it as uncharacterized. The transcript is spliced from 3 exons. Lineage: Eukaryota; Metazoa; Chordata; Actinopteri; Cyprinodontiformes; Poeciliidae. The record is from RefSeq and is a predicted model, not a curated record.
UAAUUUCGACUUUCAAAGUCAUAAUUAUGAGAUUUAAAGUCAUAAUUUCGACUUUCAAAGUCAUAAUUUCGACUUUCAAAGUCAUAAUUAUGAGAUACCGGAGCAGUUGGAGACAAGCCUCCUUAGAAUAACAGCUCCGCUCCAGCUCCCAGUUAAAUCCUAAAUCCAAGGUCCAACCUUUGCUACUGCGUUAAGAGUCAGUAAAAGGAUACCUACAAAAGAGACAGAGGAGGUUCCUUUGACCUGAACCUAAACCUAAACAGAGGAUGGAUGAGAUAUAUGACUUCUUAAAAUCACGGGAUGUUUCAGAGGAAGUCAUACAACGACUGCAAAAGGAUAAGGUAGCUAGAUUGCUAAGGAAAUCAGUACAUUUAGAAGUUAUCAUACAACACUAUUAUAGAGACAUGGUGAAGACAGAUCAGUUUUAUCAUGUGGCUGUUUUUACUGGGUUUUCCCCCCCAUUUUUAUAGGUUAAAUAACUGUUUUAA